Xiphias gladius (swordfish) is the source of this 776-nucleotide long non-coding RNA. RefSeq lists it as uncharacterized. The transcript is spliced from 3 exons. The record is from RefSeq and is a predicted model, not a curated record. NCBI's taxonomy places the organism in Eukaryota, Metazoa, Chordata, Actinopteri, Istiophoriformes, Xiphiidae.
CUGCAGCUGUGUGCGCAUCACUGGCCAAUAGGCACUUUUUGGUCAUUGUUAUUUGGGUAUUGAUAGUGAUUUUUUUCUUUUCUUUUGUAGUUCAUGAUGUGGUAAAUUGAUAAACAUCUUUUUUAGGAGAGAGUAGCUGGUUUUUUUAAAUUGUUACCUGUGUGUGAGGGUAGGAUGCAUGGUCUGUCUGUCCCAAAACGCUGUUGAAAAAUUGCAAGUUGUUUCUCCUUUGGGGCUUUGUCCAAGCCUGUGGCUAUCAGUGACUCACCAGUGCUGGUGCUGUAGGUGCGAACAGUGGUAUCAGUCGGAGGUGGCGAGCAGCCUGAGUCUAUGGACGCUGUGUCGUCAUCUUGGGAACAGCCAGCCUGGAUGGCUCUCAGACGGGCACUUACCUGUCCCAUGCAGCUACGUCUGCCCAAUGUGCUGCAGGCCUGGCUGAAGUCAUCAUCUUCCCAGCGUGGCAAAGACAAGCCUGUACCCUCAAUGCAGUCAAGGUUGUCCAGGCUGCGGUUAUUGGAGAGCUCUCUGAGAGAUGGAAGACAGCUGGAAAGGGAUUAGGAUGAGAGGAAAAACAAGAUAAAGGAGAUGUGUUAAGGAUAUGAAACAGAAGAAGAAAAAUUAAAUCAAUGUCAGGAGUGCAUCAUGACACAUUCAGGGAAACAGUUCGUGUUUAUAUGUGAUGACGGAGGCAGAAAGAAAACAUGGAUUGGGGGAGAAAAUGAAUGAUCAGCAAAACCAGGAAUUGAAAGAGAGAUAAAAGGAAGAUAAGGUUGUUA